GGUGACGUGGAGACGCAGCAGUGACACCACCGCCGGCUGACGGAAUAGCCGGUUAAAGAGUGUAGACGUCGAUUCCCGCAGGCAAAUCCACGGGAAGAGUCGAACUUGAUAGUACACCAACACCUUCGGGUAGCGGUGAUAGUGUGGGUAAGCAGACUGCCGAGAAAAUCCGCUAAACUUAACGUUGUAGGUACCCGUACCGCAAACGGACACACGUAGUCGGGUUGAAUAUACUAAGGCGCUUGGGUGAGUCACGGUUAAGGAACUAGGCAAAUUGACCCUGUAACU
RNAcentral lists this ribosomal RNA (288 nucleotides) under Bacteroides caecigallinarum. RNAcentral describes it as "partial 23S ribosomal RNA". It matches the Rfam family "Bacterial large subunit ribosomal RNA", at positions 1460 to 1735 of the family's 2925-position model. Lineage: Bacteria; Pseudomonadati; Bacteroidota; Bacteroidia; Bacteroidales; Bacteroidaceae. The record is from RNAcentral.